Long non-coding RNA from Cercocebus atys (sooty mangabey), 2807 nucleotides. RefSeq lists it as uncharacterized. The transcript is spliced from 2 exons. NCBI's taxonomy places the organism in Eukaryota, Metazoa, Chordata, Mammalia, Primates, Cercopithecidae. The record is from RefSeq and is a predicted model, not a curated record.
GACCUAUUUCUAAUUUAUUUCCUUCUUAUGGAUGGCAUAAUUUCUCAACAUAACACCUCAAAACUUACACAUCCUUAAAUAUUAAAAUGUAAUACAAAGGUAAGCAAUAUUUUAAAUAUUGAAUCGUUAGAUACAUGAGGUGUAUGACUUGACACAUUCCAUGAGAGAAAAAUUCAUUUGUCUAUUUAUUCAGAUGAAGCAACGAUGAAGGCUGAAUGUCUCACGCCUGUAAACCCCAGCACUUUGAGAGGCUGAGGCCGACAGAACACUUGCGCCCAACAGUUCAAGACCAGCCUGGGCAACAAGGCAAAACCCCGUCUCUACAGAAACUACAGAAAUCAGCCCAGCAUGGUGACACAGGUCAACGGUCAAAACGACUUGGAUGGCUGAAGUGUGAGGAUCACCUGAGCCCAGGAAAUGGAGAUAGGAGUGAGCCAAGGUCUCGCUGCCGCACUCCAGCCUGCGUUACAGAGUGAAUCCCCCUCUCAAAAAACAGCCGUGAAAAUGCUGCUUACACGGAAGACUGUGUUCUAGGUACUCCAGGAUACACACAAAUAUGUUUGCUGACCUCCAGUGGCCCAUGAUUCCACUUCUGCAAGGCUCCACAGAAGUCUCCAACCUUCAAAUCUUCAGUCUCUGAAAGCACUGAUUCCUGAAAGGAUGGCCUCAAAUGACCAAGUAUACGAGCUGUCUAUAUCCCUGCUCCUGAAAAACAAGCUAACUGGACUCUCCAUCACCUGCCCCCAGCACAGACGCACUACCAGCUACCCAGCUGAACUCCAUGACUGACUUGCCAUCCAAUCAUGCCCCUGACCCAGCCUACAUGAACAAGGGAAGGAACAUCAGCGAAUUAGGAAAAGAGGCAGAGGUGAGGAGACCACCUGUCCUGGGCCACAGAGCUAUGUAGAGUUCAGCAAUCUCUAGCCCCUUAGUAUUCCAGGGGCUCUAAACCACCUUCUGUAAGUCAGGAUGGAAGUAGAUGGUGCCACGAAGAUUUCUCUCUGCUGUAGCCACUCCUUCAGUGUCUCAAAAUGUUUUAACAUCUUUCAGUAAAAACCUGUCAGUCCUUGAUAAAUUUAAAAAAAAAAAAGGCGGCAAAGUUUUUAGAGCUCCCUUGAACCUUCUAUUUUAAGGUGCCUUUGUAGAUAAUUCCCAUCAUUCUGUGUGUCGGUCAUCUUUGGAAUUUAUCGAUCGAUCAUUGUUUCUCUUCAAACUUGGCCUUGCCCUGCCCAUUCCAUUCUUACCCGCUUUCAUUGGCUUCACUAGUCAAUUCCACACUCAUUCUAGACACUGGGUGCACGAGACACACUCCCGUUUGUAUUACCAAAACUCAGGCCAAUAGGAUAUAAAAAGUAGGAAGAAUACUGGGAUUUAACAUGAGUACAAAUCUCAUUUCUUCCAAUUCCUAUGUCUUCUUGAAUCCUAAUCUUUCUGAGACUCAAGUUUUCUAUCUAAACGAUCCCUUGACCAGAAUGUUCAACAGACGUGACAAUACUAGAACGUGUUUUAAUUCAUUCUAAGAUUCCUUAAAAUUCUGUAAUUCUAUGUGCUUCUGAUUCUGGGAAUACAUAGCCAGCAGAAUUUGAAAAAACAAAUAGAAUUAAAGAAAUAACAAAGACAAAAAAAAAAAAACAGAAGAACGUUUUAAAAACCUCAAGACAUGAUUAUAGAAAAUUCAUGGAAAAAUAAACAAGACUACCAAAAGUAUGAUGGAAGUAAGCAGAAAUACUAGCCUAAAUGAAAGCAAAACUGAGAAAUCAAAUACUUUCUAAGACUUGCCUAAACUUGCUUUUGUAAAACUUACAGUCUCAUGGCCAAAGCUAAGUAAGAUCAGCCCUAAAACUUCUGAUGGCAAAAAGAAGAUCCCGGUUCCCACUGAAAUUGUCAAAUUUAUGAUGACAGACUCUGGACUGACCACCUUCUAACGAUAACCUUAAAUGGGUGUUGAAGGUAUUUAAACUCUCAUUAAUUUAGAUGUUAAUUAAAUUAAUGAAUGUAAUUAAGCUGCUUCAGAUGUAUACCAUGUUCCAAGUGCUGCAUGGAUGUCUAUCAACCUAUGCUGAGGAACAAGAGAAGGGAUUUGGAAGGCAGGCAGGCUGACAAUCAAAGUGGGUCAGCUACUUUGUUAACUAGAAGAUCAUGAGCCAAUUAAUCCACUGCUCCAACCCAUACUCGUUUUUUAAACAAACAGUAGUUGAUAGGAACACAGAUGUUGUGAUGGCUUUAUGAGACGAUAAGUGCCAUAGGAUGUCUACCCUGAAUACAACACUCAACAGAUGUUAGUUCCUUCCACCUGUAUUUCCUUGGUUAACAUAAUUUUUUAAAUCUGUACAAUCCUACCUGACUGCAGAUUCAUCAGAACUUCCAACAUCUAUUAAAGAAACAGGCAAAAUGCAUUUUAAAUCAAUAAUAAAGGUACAGAAUAUUAAAAGCAUAAGAAGGCCCAGUGAUGCAUGCCUGUAAUCCAAACUACUCAGGAGGCUGAGGCAGGAGGAUCACUCGAGGAUCCCAGAAGUUUGAGACCAGCUUGGGAAACAAAGCAAGACUCUACCUUAGUAAGAAAAAAACUUGUGCACACCUGUGUGUAUGCUUUAGGUCCUGUUUUUGUUCUUGUUUGUUUUGUUUUGUUUUGUCUUUUAAAGCAUAAGACUGACGCUUUGUUACAAAGCAUUCCUUUGGGAGCUCGCCUGGGACCUUAUUAGAAUAAACAUUAAUCAUAAUUAGUGGUAUUUAAUUAAUGCAACAAGAAAUGUUACUUCCCAGUGUAUUUACUAAAUGCAAAGCAUAAUAAAUCAGAAUGAAUUUUA